This 460-nucleotide ribosomal RNA is filed under the name uncultured bacterium. RNAcentral's name for it is "partial 16S ribosomal RNA". It matches the Rfam family "Bacterial small subunit ribosomal RNA", at positions 338 to 795 of the family's 1533-position model. The record is from RNAcentral.
CCUACGGGAGGCAGCAGUGGGGAAUAUUGGUCAAUGGGCGAGAGUCUGAACCAGCCAAGUAGCGUGAAGGAUGACUGCCCUCGGGUUGGUAAACUUCGUUUAUAUGGGAGUACAAUGUUCCACGUAUGGAGUUUUGUAUGUACCAUAUGAGUAAGGAUCGGCUAACUCCGUGCCAUCAGCCGAGGUAAUACGGAGGAUCCGAGCGUUACCCGGAUUUAUUGGGUUUAAAGGGAGCGUAGGUGGAUUGUUAAGUCAGGUGUGAAAGUUUGGGGCUCAACCGUAAAAUUGCAGUUGAAACUGGCAGUCUUGAGUACAGUAGAGGUGGGCGGAAUUCGUGGUGUAGCGGUGAAAUGCUUAGAUAUCACGAAGAACUUCGAUGGCGAAGGCAGCUCACUGGACUGCAACUGACACUGAGGCUCGAAAGUGUGGGUAUCAAACAGGAUUAGAUACCCUAGUAGUC